GAACUUGACUGGGACCCUAAGAACUGCUAAUUACUUACGCUGUGUUCAAUUCCACGGCUUGUUCG
This is a non-coding RNA of Xenopus laevis (African clawed frog), 65 nucleotides long. The record is from the annotation of a RefSeq genome assembly. Lineage: Eukaryota; Metazoa; Chordata; Amphibia; Anura; Pipidae.